Molecule: ribosomal RNA, 120 nt
Filed under: Gopherus agassizii (Agassiz's desert tortoise)
Lineage: Eukaryota; Metazoa; Chordata; Testudines; Testudinidae
Source: RNAcentral
GCCUGCUGUUUUGUAAUGGAAGCUUCUGCUGAGAUCCCAUCAGACUGCCCAAGCCAAGCAUGACUGAGAUGGGUUAGUACGUGGAUGGAAGACCACUAUGGCUGUGCACUACAGCAAGUG